Sciurus carolinensis (gray squirrel) is the source of this 843-nucleotide long non-coding RNA. RefSeq lists it as uncharacterized. The record is from RefSeq and is a predicted model, not a curated record. Lineage: Eukaryota; Metazoa; Chordata; Mammalia; Rodentia; Sciuridae. The transcript has 4 exons.
GGGCACUCCAUGGACAAUCCAGGAGCUGGGCUGGCUGGGCUGGGGAAGAGGCCAGAUCCCCUUCUGAGGACCUCAGGGCAGGCUUAUGAAUGCAGGUGGGCUUGACUGAUCCUGAAGGCACCAGCAACUGACCCACAUGGUGCACACGUAUUUGAGAUGAAAACAAGCUGGAACCUGAAAGUACACUUCUCAAGGAUGACGGCCAGAGGUGGACAUGGUGUUGAAUCUUCCUGGAUUAUAUGGAUAAGGAUGACAUUCUAGGGUGAGCAGAGAAUGUGGAAGAAUCUAGAUUCCCAACACUGACAAACUGCCCUACUAGCCCUGGACUACCAGACAGAGACAGAAGCAAGAGGAAGACUCCAUGUGGGAGGCACAGGGGACUUAUUUGCUCUCAGGCACCCAGAGCACUGAAUUGAAGAUUCUGGCAUUUGUCCAUCUGAAGUGGAAAUAGUUCCUCCAAAUGUAACUUUACCUUAUCCGCACAUUUGCAUGACUGCUACAGGGAAUGUCAUUUGGGAAGACCUUUUAGAGAAUGGGUACAGCAGUGGGUAGAGCAAUUUUUCUCCAUAUGUCAGGUAGGGACACUCAAGACUUUGGCCAAACAUGUUCAGAAGAAAUCAGGGGCUUGCUGCAAAUCCAGAAAGCUGCUGUGAGAUCUUACAGUUGGUGUGGGGGAGGUAUUAAAAAACACUAAUAUUUCUGGAAUUGAAUGCAUGAAAGAUACCAUAACUUAGAACAAGUUGCUUUUGAAAUUAAAUACAUCUCUUGCAGAUGGCCUGACCUGGCUUUUUGGUUGCCUCUUUUCAAAAUAGUCCUCAUUAAAGGAUGAGUCAUUGCAUUGGC